This 496-nucleotide ribosomal RNA is filed under the name uncultured bacterium. Its description in RNAcentral is "partial 16S ribosomal RNA". It matches the Rfam family "Bacterial small subunit ribosomal RNA", at positions 28 to 508 of the family's 1533-position model. The record is from RNAcentral.
GACGAACGCUGGCGGCGUGCCUAAUACAUGCAAGUAGAACGCUGAAGGAGGAGCUUGCUCUUCUGGAUGAGUUGCGAACGGGUGAGUAACGCGUAGGUAACCUGCCUGGUAGCGGGGGAUAACUAUUGGAAACGAUAGCUAAUACCGCAUAACAUUGACUAUUGCAUGAUAGUCAAUUAAAAGGUGCAAAUGCACCACUACCAGAUGGACCUGCGUUGUAUUAGCUAGUUGGUGGGGUAACGGCUCACCAAGGCGACGAUACAUAGCCGACCUGAGAGGGUGAUCGGCCACACUGGGACUGAGACACGGCCCAGACUCCUACGGGAGGCAGCAGUAGGGAAUCUUCGGCAAUGGACGGAAGUCUGACCGAGCAACGCCGCGUGAGUGAAGAAGGUUUUCGGAUCGUAAAGCUCUGUUGUAAGAGAAGAACGAGUGUGAGAGUGGAAAGUUCACACUGUGACGGUAGCUUACCAGAAAGGGACGGCUAACUACGUGC